AUUGAACGCUGGCGGCAUGCCUUACACAUGCAAGUCGAACGGCAGCGCGUCCUUCGGGAGUGGCGGCGAGUGGCGAACGGGUGAGUAAUACAUCGGAACGUGCCCGAGAGUGGGGGAGUAACGCAGCGAAAGACUGUGCUAAUACCGCAUACGAUCUCAGGAUGAAAGCAGGGGACCGCAAGGCCUUGCGCUCACGGAGCGGCCGAUGGCAGAUUAGGUAGUUGGUAAGGUAAUGGCUUACCAAGGCGAUGACGGGUAGGGGACCUGAGAGGGUGGCCCCCCACAAUGGAACUGAGACACGGUCCAAACUCCUACGGGAGGCAGCAGUGGGGAAUAUUGCACAAUGGGCGAAAGCCUGAUGCAGCAACGCCGCGUGAGCGAAGAAGGCCUUUGGGUCGUAAAGCUCUGUCGGGUAGGAAGAUAAUGACGGUACUACCCGAGGAAGCCCCGGCUAACUACGUG
This 462-nucleotide ribosomal RNA is filed under the name uncultured bacterium. RNAcentral describes it as "bacterial SSU rRNA". It matches the Rfam family "Bacterial small subunit ribosomal RNA", at positions 29 to 507 of the family's 1533-position model. The record is from RNAcentral.